This 488-nucleotide long non-coding RNA is filed under the name Homo sapiens (human). RNAcentral's name for it is "HSALNT0280302". Lineage: Eukaryota; Metazoa; Chordata; Mammalia; Primates; Hominidae. The record is from RNAcentral.
UGUGAAUUUCACUUCCUGACAUUUUCAGUGUGAGUGAACCCAGGUAAGCAUGUGUCCCUGACCUCAAAUAUGGUUUUUCCAUUUAUUUUGGAUGGCCACUGCUGAAAAGUAUCCUGCUGAAGGGGUAGGUCCAAAUCAAUCUGGGAGAGGCCAAGCAUAGUUUUUUGAGGAGUGAAACUUCCAGCAGCAAACCGCUUGGAUAAUUACUCAAGGUUUUCCCUACAGUAUUUUCUAAGGCAAUGUGUAAGUAUAAUUAAGGCUGUUUGAACAUGUAUUCUCUCCGCAGGAUAAUAAGGAUAAUAUGUAAGAAUCUGUUGCUGAUUUAUGUGUUUGCUGUCUUCAAGAAAGACUGUGACAAGGCUUUUCAAAUGGAGGAUCUGAUUUUUGCUCAAGACGGUGCCUGUUUUAAAAGUAGUUGUUUUACCACUAUUAGAAUAUUAUUUAAGGGCGGGGCACACCUGUGAUCCCAGCACUUUGGGAGGCCGAGG